UGCAGCCAUGCCGCGUGUGUGAAGAAGGCCUUCGGGUUGUAAAGCACUUUCAGCGAGGAGGAAAGGUUACUGGCUAAUAUCCAGUAGCUGUGACGUUACUCGCAGAAGAAGCACCGGCUAACUUCGUGCCAGCAGCCGCGGUAAUACGAGGGGUGCAAGCGUUAAUCGGAAUUACUGGGCGUAAAGCGUACGCAGGCGGUUUGUUAAGCGAGAUGUGAAAGCCCCGGGCUCAACCUGGGGAACUGCAUUUCGAAACUGGCAAACUAGAGUCUUGUAGAGGGGGGUAGAAUUUCAGGUGUAGCGGUGAAAUGCGUAGAGAUCUGAAGGAAUACCGGUGGCGAAGGCGGCCCCCUGGACAAAGACUGACGCUCAGGUACGAAAGCGUGGGGAGCAAACAGGAUUAGAUACCCUGGUAGUCCACGCCGUAAACGAUGUCUACUCGGAGUUUGGUGUCUUGAACACUGGGCUCUCAAGCUAACGCAUUAAGUAGACCGCCUGGGGAGUACGGCCGCAAGGUUAAAACUCAAAUGAAUUGACGGGGGCCCGCACAAGCGGUGGAGCAUGUGGUUUAAUUCGAUGCAACGCGAAGAACCUUACCUACUCUUGACAUCCUCAGAACUUCCAGAGAUGG
This 631-nucleotide ribosomal RNA is filed under the name Shewanella sp. RNAcentral's name for it is "bacterial SSU rRNA". It matches the Rfam family "Bacterial small subunit ribosomal RNA", at positions 387 to 1009 of the family's 1533-position model. Lineage: Bacteria; Pseudomonadati; Pseudomonadota; Gammaproteobacteria; Alteromonadales; Shewanellaceae. The record is from RNAcentral.